RNAcentral lists this ribosomal RNA (454 nucleotides) under uncultured Thauera sp. RNAcentral's name for it is "bacterial SSU rRNA". It matches the Rfam family "Bacterial small subunit ribosomal RNA", at positions 925 to 1382 of the family's 1533-position model. Lineage: Bacteria; Pseudomonadati; Pseudomonadota; Betaproteobacteria; Rhodocyclales; Zoogloeaceae. The record is from RNAcentral.
ACAAGCGGUGGAUGAUGUGGAUUAAUUCGAUGCAACGCGAAAACCUUACCUACCCUUGACAUGUCUGGAACCUUGGUGAGAGCCGAGGGUGCCUUCGGGAGCCAGAACACAGGUGCUGCAUGGCUGUCGUCAGCUCGUGUCGUGAGAUGUUGGGUUAAGUCCCGCAACGAGCGCAACCCUUGUCACUAGUUGCCAUCAUUUGGUUGGGCACUCUAGUGAGACUGCCGGUGACAAACCGGAGGAAGGUGGGGAUGACGUCAAGUCCUCAUGGCCCUUAUGGGUAGGGCUUCACACGUCAUACAAUGGUCUGUACAAAGGGCAGCAAAGGGGCGACCCGGAGCAAAUCCCAAAAACAGGUCUCAGUUCGGAUUGCAGGCUGCAACUCGCCUGCAUGAAGGCGGAAUCGCUAGUAAUCGCAGGUCAGCAUACUGCGGUGAAUACGUUCCCGGGCCUU